UACGUAGGGUGCAAGCGUUAUCCGGAAUUAUUGGGCGUAAAGAGCUCGUAGGCGGUCUGUCGCGUCUGCUGUGAAAUCUGGGGGCUCAACCCCCAGCCUGCAGUGGGUACGGGCAGACUAGAGUGCGGUAGGGGAGAUUGGAACUCCUGGUGUAGCGGUGGAAUGCGCAGAUAUCAGGAAGAACACCGAUGGCGAAGGCAGAUCUCUGGGCCGUAACUGACGCUGGAGGAGCGAAAGCAUGGGGAGCGAACAGG
This 254-nucleotide ribosomal RNA is filed under the name uncultured bacterium. Its description in RNAcentral is "partial 16S ribosomal RNA". It matches the Rfam family "Bacterial small subunit ribosomal RNA", at positions 524 to 776 of the family's 1533-position model. The record is from RNAcentral.